Molecule: transfer RNA, 69 nt
Filed under: bovine gut metagenome
Rfam family: tRNA
About the family: Transfer RNA (tRNA) molecules are approximately 80 nucleotides in length.
Source: RNAcentral
CGCGAUAGCUCAGUCGGUAGAGCAGAGGACUGAAAAUCCUCGUGUCGGUGGUUCGAUUCCGCCUCGCGG